Molecule: long non-coding RNA, 1182 nt
Filed under: Triticum aestivum (bread wheat)
Lineage: Eukaryota; Viridiplantae; Streptophyta; Magnoliopsida; Poales; Poaceae
Description: long non-coding RNA (TAES_LNC026754)
Source: RNAcentral
GUUGGUCUCGCCGGUGAGGGAGCCCUGCUCGACGCGGAGCGUGGAGGAGACGAGGCGGAGCACCCGCAUGUCGGCGGGCACCUUGUCCCCGACGCGGAGCAUCACGACGUCGCCCGGGACGAGGUCGCGGGCAGGGAGGGCGGGCGCCCACUCGCCGUCGCGGAGCACGGCGGCGUGGUCGGACUGGAUCUGGCGCAGGGCCUCGAGUGCCUUCUCGGCGUUGGUCUCCUGCCACACCCCGACGGCGGCGUUGACGACGAGGAUGAGGAAGAUGACGAGCGGCUCGACGAAGGCCGAGAGCGUGAGCGCGCCGGCCGACGAGGAGAGCGCGAGCGCGAAGGAGACGGCGGCGGCGGCGAGGAGGAUGCGGACCAGCGUGUCCUCGAACUGCUGCGCCACGAGCUGCAGCACGGAGGGGCCCGGGUGCUCCAGCAGCUCGUUGGGCCCGUGCGCGCGCAGCCGCGCCGCCGCCUCCGACGACGAUAGCCCGCGGUCACGGUCCGUCCCGAACCGCUUCUCGCACUCCUCCACCGUCCGCGCCCACGCCGGGAACGGCGCCGCCAUCGCCCCCUUCCCCUCCUCCUUCACCGCCGGCGCGUCGUGCCCCGCCUCGCCCAUCGCGGACCGCGCCGAGGAAAGGAGUCGCCUUUGACGGAAGGCCCCCUCCGCCGGCGGCGAUCUCAGCAAUGCGAAAUCGAGAGGCGGCCUCGCGGAAUCCGCCCCGGGGACGGCGAGGACGCGGUCUUAUACCCCGCGCACGCCCACGGAUGUCGCUGGCGUCCGGGGCGAGAUCUCUUGCUUGGCCUUGGGGCGAGGCGGUUGUUAGCGUGUGGAGCCGGGAUUCCCUCCGCCCCGCAACGAACCAAUCAACACAACACAGAACCCAGACCCAAGCCCAAACGCAAAGCCGCCGCGCCGCCUCCCCCGGAGGUGCGAACGCCGGAGUUCCCUGUCUCCGGCGGCGGGCGGCGGGUUCGUGAGUCACCGGACGGAGAGGGGAGUGGAGGGGGUGGUUGGGUGAGGGGGGCAGAGGUGGUGGUGGUGGUGGGCAGGUGGGAAGGGCACGCCUGGCGUCCCGCCACGAGUACUUGUAGCCGCAGCAGCAGCACUCGCGCCGCGCAGGCCAGGGGGCGAGGAAGGUGGCAGGAAGCUUCGUGCGGGCGAUGGGUGGUAAUGGCGGUC